UUGAGGAAUUUUCCGCAAUGGGCGAAAGCCUGACGGAGCAAUGCCGCGUGAAGGAUGAAGGCCUAUGGGUUGUAAACUUCUUUUCUCAGAAAAGAAUUAUGACGGUAUCUGAGGAAUAAGCAUCGGCUAACUCUGUGCCAGCAGCCGCGGUAAGACAGAGGAUGCAAGCGUUAUCCGGAAUGAUUGGGCGUAAAGCGUCUGUAGGUUGUUUAAAAAGUAUUCUGUCAAAGAUAGGGCUUAACCCUAGAUAGGCAGAAUAAACUUUUAAGCUAGAGUUUGGUAGAGGCAGAGGGAAUUCCCGGUGGAGCGGUGAAAUGCGUAGAUAUCGGGAGGAACACCAAAGGCGAAGGCACUCUGCUGGGCCAAUACUAACACUGAGAGACGAAAGCGAGGGGAGCAAAUGGGAUUAGAUACCCCGGUAGUCC
Molecule: ribosomal RNA, 425 nt
Filed under: uncultured bacterium
Lineage: Bacteria
Description: bacterial SSU rRNA
Rfam family: Bacterial small subunit ribosomal RNA
Source: RNAcentral